UUCUAUGGAGAGUUUGAUCCUGGCUCAGAACGAACGCUGGCGGCGUGCCUAACACAUGCAAGUCGAACGGUAACAGGACUUUGGUCGCUGACGAGUGGCGCACGGGUGAGUAACGCGUGGGUUACCUGCCCAUAAGUGGGGAACAACUUGGAGAAAUCCAAGCUAAUACCGCAUAAUACCUUCGGGUUAAAGAGGGGGAUCUUCGGACCUCUCGCUUAUGGAUGGUCCCGCGUCUGAUUAGCUAGUUGGUAGGGUAAUGGCCUACCAAGGCAAUGAUCAGUAGCUGGUCUGAGAGGAUGAUCAGUCACACUGGAACUGAGACACGGUCCAGACUCCUACGGGAGGCAGCAGUGGGGAAUUUUGCACAAUGGGCGAAAGCCUGAUGCAGCGACGCCGCGUGCGGGAAGAAGGCCUUCGGGUUGUAAACCGCUUUCAACAGGGAAGAAGGAAUGAGAGCUAAUACCUCUCUGCCUUGACGGUACCUGUAGAAGAAGCACCGGCUAAUUUCGUGCCAGCAGCCGCGGUAAUACGAAAGGUGCAAGCGUUGUUCGGAUUUACUGGGCGUAAAGAGAUCGUAGGUGGCUUGUUAAGUCGGAUGUGAAAUCCCGGGGCUCAACCCCGGAACUGCAUUCGAUACUGGCAGACUAGAGUUUGGGAGGGGUAAGCGGAAUUCCGUGUGUAGCAGUGAAAUGCGUAGAUAUACGGAGGAACACCUGAGGCGAAGGCGGCUUACUGGACCAAUACUGACACUGAGGAUCGAAAGCGUGGGUAGCAAACAGGAUUAGAUACCCUGGUAGUCCACGCCCUAAACGAUGUCAACUAGCCGUAGCGGGUAUCGACCCCUGCUGUGGCGAAGCUAACGCGAUAAGUUGACCGCCUGGGGAGUACGGUCGCAAGAUUAAAACUCAAAGGAAUUGACGGG
This 922-nucleotide ribosomal RNA is filed under the name Zetaproteobacteria bacterium CG_4_8_14_3_um_filter_59_5. RNAcentral describes it as "bacterial SSU rRNA". It matches the Rfam family "Bacterial small subunit ribosomal RNA", at positions 1 to 917 of the family's 1533-position model. Lineage: Bacteria; Pseudomonadati; Pseudomonadota; Candidatius Mariprofundia. The record is from RNAcentral.